AAAACGACAAACAUUUCCAUAACUACCUUUGCCAAACUUGAUUGGCCAAAAUAAAUGAGAAUGCUAGUUUGGAGUGACAAACUGUCAGUCAUAGCUGUUCAAUUUGCAUCGUUUAACUAAACGGUUACAUCCUAAAAAAGACCCAUUUUAAUAUUCCCCUUACAUGCACCGUUUACUAACAUCAUUAUCCAAAUGCAACGUUUUGUGUUAAAUGAAACUAACAAAAGAUUAACAGAAAUCUAAACAUAGAAUCAUUCCUCUAAUUGCUCUAUAUCACAAUGUUAGGCAAAAAAUAUCAUCGGAAGUACUAGAGAUAGUCGAAAUUGCAGUGCCAUUUGAAUCACGCUCCACUGUUGCCCAACCGGUCUUAAUGUCCUCCCUGAAAUUUGCUGCAUCAAUGUUACAUUUCAACCAUCCCCCGAUGGCUUUUUUGAAGCAUUCCUCACUAGUGAAUCUGUAACAAAAGAAAGAUGGAGCCGAUCAAAAAAAGUUUGUGCCAUCUUCCAAUCCUGCACAAAAGAAGAAGCAAAGUGCACAACGUGAGCUGCCUGCAAGUCUUUCUACUUCCAGAUGAACAAGUUUCUAUGAAACCAUAAGUUGUAUAAUAAAGAAAGAACUUUCUCAAUGGUGACAGUAUUGAUGUUA
Molecule: long non-coding RNA, 645 nt
Filed under: Gossypium raimondii (Peruvian cotton)
Lineage: Eukaryota; Viridiplantae; Streptophyta; Magnoliopsida; Malvales; Malvaceae
Description: long non-coding RNA (GRAI_LNC003898)
Source: RNAcentral